This is a long non-coding RNA of Mustela erminea (ermine), 130 nucleotides long. RefSeq lists it as uncharacterized. The record is from RefSeq and is a predicted model, not a curated record. NCBI's taxonomy places the organism in Eukaryota, Metazoa, Chordata, Mammalia, Carnivora, Mustelidae. The transcript is spliced from 3 exons.
UCCACAAAUCAAUGAAACCAUCAGAAAGCACGAAUAUCAAGCUUUUGCAUCAACGUGGAUAGGACUGAAGGAGAUUAUGCUAACUGAAAUAGGUCAAGCGAAGAAAGUUGAAUAUCAUAUGGUUUCACUU